AACUGAUACUACCUGCGGGAACCUGCGGAGGGAUCAUUACAGAGUUUACAACUCCCAAACCCACUGUGAACCUUACAGCGUCGUUGCCUCGGCGGACCGCCCCCGGCGCGGCCCCCCUCGGGGGGGCGCCCGGGACCACGGCGCCCGCCGGAGGACCCAAACUCUUGUAUUUGCAGGAUGCAUUGCUCUGAGUGAAAACAAGCAAAUGAAUCAAAACUUUCAGCAACGGAUCUCUAGAUC
RNAcentral lists this unclassified non-coding RNA (240 nucleotides) under soil metagenome. RNAcentral describes it as "partial contains 5.8S ribosomal RNA, internal transcribed spacer 2, and large subunit ribosomal RNA". The record is from RNAcentral.